Molecule: ribosomal RNA, 1309 nt
Filed under: uncultured bacterium
Lineage: Bacteria
Description: bacterial SSU rRNA
Rfam family: Bacterial small subunit ribosomal RNA
Source: RNAcentral
AACGUACGCUGGCGGCACGCCUAACACAUGCAAGUCGAACGAAGUAGCAAUACUUAGUGGCAGACGGGUGAGUAACAUGUAGGUAUCUGCCCUUUGGCCUGGAAUAACACGAGGAAACUUGUGCUAAUACCGGAUAAGUCUUUACGGAGAAAGCUUUAUGCACCAUUGGAUGAGCCUGCACUUGAUUAGUUUGUUGGUGGGGUAAUGGCCUACCAAGACUGUGAUCAAUAGCUGAUUUGAGAGGAUGAUCAGCCACAUUGGGACUGAGACACGGCCCAAACUCCUACGGGAGGCAGCAGUGGGGAAUCUUGCACAAUGGAGGAAACUCUGAUGCAGCGAUGCCGCGUGAGUGAAGAAGGCCCUUGGGUUGUAAAGCUCUUUCGUCGGGGAAGAAAAUGACUGUACCCGAAUAAGAAGGUCCGGCUAACUUCGUGCCAGCAGCCGCGGUAAUACGAAGGGACCUAGCGUAGUUCGGAAUUACUGGGCUUAAAGAGUUCGUAGGUGGUUGAAAAAGUUAGUGGUGAAAUCCCAGAGCUUAACUCUGGAACUGCCAUUAAAACUUUUCAGCUAGAGUAUGAUAGAGGAAAGCAGAAUUUCUAGUGUAGAGGUGAAAUUCGUAGAUAUUAGAAAGAAUACCAAUUGCGAAGGCAGCUUUCUGGAUCAUUACUGACACUGAGGAACGAAAGCAUGGGUAGCGAAGAGGAUUAGAUACCCUCGUAGUCCAUGCCGUAAACGAUGUGUGUUAGACGUUGGAAAUUUAUUUUCAGUGUCGCAGGGAAACCGAUAAACACACCGCCUGGGGAGUACGACCGCAAGGUUAAAACUCAAAUGAAUUGACGGGGACCCGCACAAGUAGUGGAGCAUGUGGUUUAAUUCGAAGAUACGCGCAGAACCUUACCAACACUUGACAUGUUCGUCGCGACUCUAAGAGAUUAGAGUUUUCGGUUCGGCCGGACGAAACACAGGUGCUGCAUGGCUGUCGUCAGCUCGUGUCGUGAGAUGUUGGGUUAAGUCCCGCAACGAGCGCAACCCUCACUUUUAGUUGCCAUCAUUAAGUUGGGCACUCUGAAAGAACUGCCAGUGAUAAGCUGGAGGAAGGUGGGGAUGACGUCAAGUCCUCAUGGCCCUUACGUGUUGGGCUACACACGUGCUACAAUGGUAUCUACAACAGGAAGCAAGACUGCGAAGUUAAGCAAAUCCCUAAAAGAUACCUCAGUCUCGGAUUGCACUCUGCAAACUCGAGUGCAUGAAAGCUGGAAUUACUAGUAAUCGUGUCUCGGCGUGCCACGGUAAAUGCGCUCCCGGGUCU